RNAcentral lists this ribosomal RNA (2900 nucleotides) under Streptococcus pneumoniae. Its description in RNAcentral is "bacterial LSU rRNA". It matches the Rfam family "Bacterial large subunit ribosomal RNA". The record is from RNAcentral. Lineage: Bacteria; Bacillati; Bacillota; Bacilli; Lactobacillales; Streptococcaceae.
UUAAGUUAAUAAGGGCGCACGGUGGAUGCCUUGGCACUAGGAGCCGACGAAGGACGUGACAAACGACGAUAUGCCUUGGGUAGCUGUAAGUAAGCGAUGAUCCAGGGAUUUCCGAAUGGGGGAACCCAACAGGUAAUACCUGUUACCUACAUCUGUUAAGGAUGUGAGGAGGAAGACGCAGUGAACUGAAACAUCUAAGUAGCUGCAGGAAGAGAAAGCAAAAGCGAUUGCCUUAGUAGCGGCGAGCGAAACGGCAGAAGGGCAAACCGAAGAGUUUACUCUUCGGGGUUGUAGGACUGCAAUGUGGACUCAAAGAUUAUAGAAGAAUGAUUUGGGAAGAUCAGCCAAAGAGAGUAAUAGCCUCGUAUUUAAAAUAGUCUUUGUACUUAGCAGUAUCCUGAGUACGGCGGGACACGUGAAAUCCCGUCGGAAUCUGGGAGGACCAUCUCCCAACCCUAAAUACUCCCUAGUGACCGAUAGUGAACCAGUACCGUGAGGGAAAGGUGAAAAGCACCCCGGGAGGGGAGUGAAAUAGAACCUGAAACCGUGUGCCUACAACAAGUUCGAGCCCGUUAAUGGGUGAGAGCGUGCCUUUUGUAGAAUGAACCGGCGAGUUACGUUAUGAUGCGAGGUUAAGUUGAAGAGACGGAGCCGUAGGGAAACCGAGUCUGAAUAGGGCGCCUUAGUAUCAUGACGUAGACCCGAAACCAUGUGACCUACCCAUGAGCAGGUUGAAGGUGCGGUAAGACGCACUGGAGGACCGAACCAGGGCACGUUGAAAAGUGCUUGGAUGACUUGUGGGUAGCGGAGAAAUUCCAAACGAACUUGGAGAUAGCUGGUUCUCUCCGAAAUAGCUUUAGGGCUAGCGUCGACAUUAGAGAUUCUUGGAGGUAGAGCACUGUUUGGGUGAGGGGUCCAUCCCGGAUUACCAAUCUCAGAUAAACUCCGAAUGCCAAUGAAUUAUGGUCGGCAGUCAGACUGCGAGUGCUAAGAUCCGUAGUCGAAAGGGAAACAGCCCAGACCACCAGCUAAGGUCCCAAAAUAAUUGUUAAGUGGAAAAGGAUGUGGGGUUGCACAGACAACUAGGAUGUUAGCUUAGAAGCAGCUAUUCAUUCAAAGAGUGCGUAAUAGCUCACUAGUCGAGUGACCCUGCGCCGAAAAUGUACCGGGGCUAAAACAAUUUACCGAAGCUGUGGAUACCUUUAUAGGUAUGGUAGGAGAGCGUUCUAUGUGUGAUGAAGGUAUACCGUGAGGAGUGCUGGAACGCAUAGAAGUGAGAAUGCCGGUAUGAGUAGCGAAAGACAGGUGAGAAUCCUGUCCACCGUAAGACUAAGGUUUCCAGGGGAAGGCUCGUCCGCCCUGGGUUAGUCGGGACCUAAGGAGAGACCGAAAGGUGUAUCCGAUGGACAACAGGUUGAUAUUCCUGUACUAGAGUAUGUAGUGAUGGAGGGACGCAGUAGGCUAACUAAAGCAGACGAUUGGAAGAGUCUGUCUAAGCAGUGAGGUGUGAAUUGAGUCAAAUGCUUAAUUCUAUAACAUUGAGCUGUGAUGGGGAGCGAAGUUUAGUAGCGAAGUUAGUGACGUCACACUGCCAAGAAAAGCUUCUAGCGUUUAAACAUACUCUACCCGUACCGCAAACCGACACAGGUAGUCGAGGCGAGUAGCCUCAGGUGAGCGAGAGAACUCUCGUUAAGGAACUCGGCAAAAUGACCCCGUAACUUCGGGAGAAGGGGUGCUGACUUAAAGUCAGCCGCAGUGAAUAGGCCCAAGCAACUGUUUAUCAAAAACACAGCUCUCUGCUAAAUCGUAAGAUGAUGUAUAGGGGGUGACGCCUGCCCGGUGCUGGAAGGUUAAGAGGAGUGCUUAGCGUAAGCGAAGGUAUGAAUUGAAGCCCCAGUAAACGGCGGCCAUAACUAUAACGGUCCUAAGGUAGCGAAAUUCCUUGUCGGGUAAGUUCCGACCCGCACGAAAGGCGUAAUGAUUUGGGCACUGUCUCAACGAGAGACUCGGUGAAAUUUUAGUACCUGUGAAGAUGCAGGUUACCCGCGACAGGACGGAAAGACCCCAUGGAGCUUUACUGCAGUUUGAUAUUGAGUGUCUGUACCACAUGUACAGGAUAGGUAGGAGUCUAAGAGAUCGGGACGCCAGUUUCGAAGGAGACGCUGUUGGGAUACUACCCUUGUGUUAUGGCCACUCUAACCCAGAUAGGUGAUCCCUAUCGGAGACAGUGUCUGACGGGCAGUUUGACUGGGGCGGUCGCCUCCUAAAAGGUAACGGAGGCGCCCAAAGGUUCCCUCAGAAUGGUUGGAAAUCAUUCGCAGAGUGUAAAGGUAUAAGGGAGCUUGACUGCGAGAGCUACAACUCGAGCAGGGACGAAAGUCGGGCUUAGUGAUCCGGUGGUUCCGUAUGGAAGGGCCAUCGCUCAACGGAUAAAAGCUACCCUGGGGAUAACAGGCUUAUCUCCCCCAAGAGUUCACAUCGACGGGGAGGUUUGGCACCUCGAUGUCGGCUCGUCGCAUCCUGGGGCUGUAGUCGGUCCCAAGGGUUGGGCUGUUCGCCCAUUAAAGCGGCACGCGAGCUGGGUUCAGAACGUCGUGAGACAGUUCGGUCCCUAUCCGUCGCGGGCGUAGGAAAUUUGAGAGGAUCUGCUCCUAGUACGAGAGGACCAGAGUGGACUUACCGCUGGUGUACCAGUUGUCUUGCCAAAGGCAUCGCUGGGUAGCUAUGUAGGGAAGGGAUAAACGCUGAAAGCAUCUAAGUGUGAAACCCACCUCAAGAUGAGAUUUCCCAUGAUUAUAUAUCAGUAAGAGCCCUGAGAGAUGAUCAGGUAGAUAGGUUAGAAGUGGAAGUGUGGCGACACAUGUAGCGGACUAAUACUAAUAGCUCGAGGACUUAUCCAA